This 253-nucleotide ribosomal RNA is filed under the name uncultured bacterium. Its description in RNAcentral is "partial 16S ribosomal RNA". It matches the Rfam family "Bacterial small subunit ribosomal RNA", at positions 524 to 776 of the family's 1533-position model. The record is from RNAcentral.
UACGUAGGGGGCAAGCGUUGUCCGGAAUCAUUGGGCGUAAAGCGCGCGUAGGCGGCCAGAUAAGUCCGGUGUGAAAGCCACAGGCUCAACCUGUGAAUGCCGCUGGAAACUGUCUGGCUAGAGUCCGGGAGGGGCGAGUGGAAUUCCUGGUGUAGCGGUGAAAUGCGCAGAUAUCAGGAGGAACACCAAUGGCGAAGGCAGCUCGCUGGAACGGAACUGACGCUGAGGCGCGAAAGCGUGGGGAGCGAACAGG